This 2325-nucleotide long non-coding RNA is filed under the name Homo sapiens (human). RNAcentral's name for it is "HSALNT0336759". The record is from RNAcentral. Lineage: Eukaryota; Metazoa; Chordata; Mammalia; Primates; Hominidae.
UGUAAAAGGACACUUUCACCUUUGAAACGGUGGUUUCCCAACACUAUGAUAAAACCCCAUUGUUCAUUUUUUUUCUUUUCCUUCUUAUACUUUUUUUCCUAAUCGUCCCUCCAGUGAACCUAGCUUUUCUAGCCCUGCCUUUUCAGAGUUUUUUUUCUUUUUUUUUUCUCCCCCGCCCCCAGCACCUUCUUUAAGGCUAAAGCUCCAUUUAAAAUGGUACGUGUGAUCCCUGGUAUAAGCUUGAAUCUCAAAGGAAGGAUGAAAAGGAGCCUUCGGUGGAGAUCCGAAGUGGCCUUUCAGUCUUGGGCACAGCUGCGGGGAUCAGAGUGUAUUGUAUUGCUCACACUGGGGGUUAUAAAGAAGACUCUAGCAGAUACUUAGAGACCAGUCCACGGCCAGCAGAACUGACUCUCAAUGCAACAGCCUGAGCACAACCUGGGACAGAAUGCCAGCAAGACAACACUCUCCUCUGGGCCCCUGGGACUCCAGGACAGCGGACAUUUAUUAUUUCCUAUAUGAUGGUGGGUGCCAGGUGCUUUGCCAGGCACAGAGACAUAAAGCUGCUCACAGUCUCCAGCAGCUGUCUCCCCAGGUGGUCUCCCUCACCUGGACAAUGUAAAUUAACAGCUUAUUUUCACAAGUCGGAAACAAGAGCAGACUAGAAAUUGACCUUACUGCUCACCUCCAGACCAAUGCAUACUGGACUUCUUCCACGACUCUGUUUACUUCAUCUUAUGUAAAGUGCAGAUUUACUGCGCACAAGGCAUACAUGAUUGAGGGUUCCUCUACCCUCUCCUUUGCACAUGCAACAUUUGGAUUCAGUGCACACUAAUCAAAGACUCACAAGAAAGUAACCGUUUGUCUCAUUUUUUCUACCCUCCUCUUUUCUCCUUCCUCUCCAGCCCACUUUUCCCCCUUUAAAUACUGAAGCCCUCAAAACCCUCUUUGGAAAAAGUGCAGGACACAGAUCCUACUGUGGCUUGUGUCUCUUUUUCCCUCCCUAACCAGAUGCAUCCUCAACCUUAGCAAAAUAAACCUCUAAAUUGAUUGAGAUCUGUCUCAGGCAUUGUUUUUGGUUUAUAGGAUACAGAUGCCAAAAUCUACAGCAGACACUCAAAGGAGGUUGGGGUGACCUGGGGGGUUCUGAGAUAGCUUAUUCACAGAGGAGAUGGUGCUUCAGUUUGAGAGCAAGGAUAGGGUGUGAGAAGAUGUUCCAGGGACAGGGCACAGCAGGAAUGCAGAGAUGGAUUCUGGGUUCACAUUGGCUGGAGAAGAGACAGCAAGGAAAGCAGUGAUGAGGAAGGUAGAUGAGACAGAAAAGGUAGGAGGAGCAGAGAAAAAGAAGAGCCCUGAUGCCACGAAGGAGCUUAAAACUUACCCUACAGGUCAGUGUUUCCAAAACAUAACUGUUUGGAAAUCAUCUGGGAGCUUUGAAAAAUACAGAUUCUAACAUUCCUCCCUCCAGACCUACUGAAUUAAUGUCUCUAGUAAUAAGGAUCUAGGAUUCAGUUUUUUAAAAUUCCCAGGUAGUUAUUCUAACAGGUGGGUAAGAAUCAGCAGAGUCAAUAAGGAGGCCACUGAAGCUUUUAAGCACAGAGUAUCCAAGCUUGCUUGUAUAUUUAAAUGACAAGUUAUACAGCCCCACAGUCCAUAUGUAAGAUCUUUCAACAUGAUGAAGGAAACAUUGGAAAUCAUUAAAUAGUGCUGGAAAAAAAUUGACUAUUAAAAAUAUCAUCUACCAUACAUCAAAAAAGCAACUACAGAUUGAGUGAAGAGUUUAAAUUAGUAUUGCAGGGCCACUUAUACAUGGACACAGAUGAAUUCAGAACCAUGUAUUUGUAAUGGCACCAUUCUCCCUGGUGGACAGGUUCUCUCCAGCAAUGCUUGGCUGCCUAGGAGCAGAAAAGUGUGAGGGUGGGUUCAUCCAGGAUUGCACGCAGGCUAGAUGGGUGCAGUAGAUGGGAGAGGGGUGGAGGAACUCAGGAGUCCUGGUAAGGAUGUGUUUGAAUUCAUUUACCAUCUGUCUAAGCUGGGAAAGAAGAAAUGCUAAGUGGGGUUCAAGAGAGCAGCAGAACAGGAAGGAGGGGUAGACCUAUUUUUCCUAGUCUCAUCUCCCAAUUUCCCAGUGCUGCAAGCUUGUUAAGUAUUGAGAGCCUAUGUUAUCCAUCAUUGUAUUUCCAGGGCCCUCGCCUAAAGAAGUACUUGAUACAUGCUUGCCUGACUGGAUGAAGGGAACUGAGGUCUGGCAAACUACAGCUUGUGUAUUAGUCCGUUUUCACACUGCUAUAAAGAUGCUACCUGAAACUGAGUAAUUUACAAACAAAA